This is a long non-coding RNA of Choloepus didactylus (southern two-toed sloth), 2844 nucleotides long. RefSeq lists it as uncharacterized. The transcript is spliced from 3 exons. NCBI's taxonomy places the organism in Eukaryota, Metazoa, Chordata, Mammalia, Pilosa, Megalonychidae. The record is from RefSeq and is a predicted model, not a curated record.
UCAGGCAGUGGGGUAAUUCUGUGUUUGGGUAUCAUAAUGAUGCUCAUCCAGCAGGAGGGAAGGCUUGAGUGUGGUUCCAGCCAUGGUUGAUAAAGAAGCAGUGGCCAUGAUGGGGAUGCUGGGUCCCUUGUUUGGCUCGUCUAGUCCUUGUGUCAUCUGUUUUCAGACAUGAUAAUGGAGGGUCUUGUUUUUGUCUUUCUCCAUUGUGGUGGUCACAGACUGGCCUUGUCUGGGUUGGGUCCGUGAGAUGGCUGUCAGCAAGAGAACACGGAGGCCAGGCCCUGGCUGUCAGGGCUGCUUCUCCCUUUCUCACACUAAGACUCACUUUUUCAGCUGGGCAGAUGCCCAUGUCCCCCAAGCCUGUGGCAGUAAUGAUGAUGGCUAAUAUUUGUAGGAGACCUGUGAAGCACCUGGCAGUUUUCUAAGCUCUUCACACAUGUGAACUGAUUUCAUCUUGGUCACAGACCUGGGGGGUGGGGACCCUGCUCUGCCCCUGCGGCUCCAGGCCCUGCAGCCACCAGUGGCUGGGCCAGGUUGGCACAUUCUUGCCCCAUCUCCACUACGGCUGGCCCUACAGUAGAGGGAAACACCUUCUUACGUCAGGGAAGAAGCGACUCGAGGCUUUUAAUUUUUACUUUCUUUUUCCUCUCAAUUUUACUUUUUAUUAUGGAACUUUUCAAACAAGGAGGGAAAUAGGCAGUGAACCCAUUUCCACCCUCACCAGGAGCUGAGGCCACCAGUUUCCUGCCAUUUUGCUGCUUCCCCCACCUUUUAUUUUCCCUUGGAGUAUUUUAAAGCAGAUCUCAGGUGUAUACAUCAUUUCACCUAUAAAAAAAUCUGGCAUACUUUUAAAAAUAUAAUCACAAUUCCAUUCUCACACUCUAUGACCUAAUGAUAAUUUUGUAAUAUCACGUGAGACCUAGCAUUCUUUCCAGGUACUUCAAAAAUAUCUUUUUUGCCUUUAGUUGUUUGACUCAGAAUGCAAACAAGAGCUGCACACCACGUUUUGUUGUUGUCUUUCUUUAGUCUCUCUUACGCGCUAAACACCUCACGUUAUUUUUCAAAUAGUGCGUUGUUUAUAGCAUGUUGAUUUGCAGCAAAAUUGCUCAGAAAGAACAAAGUCCCCGAUUUCCCAUUCUCCAGCCCCUUCGUCCCUCCCCCCAAUUAUUAAACAGUGUCCCCGAUUAUUAAGGUCUCACAUUAGUGGGAUACAUUCAUUACAAUCAUGACCCAACACUGAGACAAUAUUAUAAUUAAAACCCGUAGCUUACAGUAGGACCACUCUGCAUGUACGGUUCUGUGGUUUUGACAGAUGCCAAACGUCCUGAUCUAACAUUGUGGCUUCAUGCAGAAUAGUUUCACUGGCCUAAAAAUGCCCUGUAUUCCCAUUCUUGUCCCUUUCCCUUUUCCCCGAAACCCAGGGCAACAUCUGAUCUUUUAACCAUAUGCCCCUGCCUUUUUCCAUUCCAUUGAUUUCUUGGGAAAACAGGGUUUUUGUUCCCACACACUGGAUUUGGUUGACGGCUUCCCUGUGUUGUCCUGUUAUUUCCUGCAAAUAGGCAAUUAGCAGCUUGGUUGGAUUCAUGUUCAUUUUUCAGGCAGAAUUCUGUCACAGGGGCUGGGUGCUUCCUUCCAUAUGGAGGCGCACAGGACCCCACCACCCUCUCUCAGGGAUGUCAAGAUGGGUCCUUGGGCCAGUGGCCUAGCCUCCCCUGUCCACAGAGUGUCCCUGUCAACCUUUCAGGCAUCGUGUAGAGCAGCCAUCAAGGAUCCUUGCUGAAGGAGUGUCCCCUUCUAUCUUUCUUCUUGUAGAAAGAACUUUCCCUCCUUUUUCAUUCAGCUAUUCUGAGCUUUCUUUCCUCAACAGUUUUUACCUUGAACUUGUCUUCAUCAGCUUCAGAAAAUGCAGGAUAAGUGCUUUUUCCUUUAUGUACCAGUUUACCCAUUUUCAGAAUAAUGAGUCAGUGCCCUAGAAUUGCAGGGUUAUUUUUGAAAGAUUUUAAGUGUAUGUGCCAUCCAUUAUUUCAGACGCACUUGACAGAAAAAUAAAAAAAACUGUCAUUGAGCUGAAAUUUGGAUAUAUUGGGCAUCCUGGGUUUUUAUUUGGUCAUCUGUGGCCCCCACCUGAGGCCCACUCUCAUCACUGUGCCUACGUCAUGGGGUCCUCGUGACAGUCUGAGGGAGGUAGGGUGUAAAAUGCUUUGUCAGUGGAGAAAGCUGGAAAGUGGAAACCGGAGCCUGGGAGCCCAGCGGCUGCGAGUGUGCUUGCCCUGCCCCUGUGCACCUGCUCUCUGUGGUCAUCUUCGCAUGGGCUGCCCCUCGAGCGGCAUGGUGAGCUUACCCCGGGAAUGGCUUAACACCUCCUGCUAGCUUCCCCGGGACGUGAUCACAGUGUGGACAUGAUGGACAUCACCAAGCAGAAGGACUGCUAGAUGAAGCUGAAGAAGUUUUUGCACUACGAAUACAGCACCAACCUGAAGCGAGUCCUCAAGUUCACCAACCUCAAGUUCUAUGACACUAGCAGGUCCAGCUUCAUGGAACCUCCUGACGUUGUAAAAAACAGCCUUGGGGAGAAAACUACUGGCCUGACGAUGCUUUGCUGGCUAAACCCAAAGUGCCCGAGUCCUGCCUGACGUGUGUGAAGGACAGCUACACUGACAUCCUCAUCGGUUCAGGAGGUGACUCUGCCUGGUUCCACGUGCUCAAGGUGAUCAAAUGCUACAAGUGCACUAUCCCACAUGGCCAGGUGCUCUUCAUCUCAUCAGCUGGGCCUGGGUGGCCCCAGGGACCCCAGGACCUGGGUCUCCUGCCUCACAGCCUGCUGCUGCUCCUGGGAAAUGAAGC